RNAcentral lists this ribosomal RNA (493 nucleotides) under uncultured bacterium. RNAcentral's name for it is "SSU rRNA". It matches the Rfam family "Bacterial small subunit ribosomal RNA", at positions 26 to 523 of the family's 1533-position model. The record is from RNAcentral.
AAGAUUAACGCUGGCGGCGUGCAUGAAACAUGCAAGUCGAGCGCGGUGUGAUGCGGGGUAACCCAAUUCACAUCUAGCGGCGAACGGGUGAGUAACACGUGAGCAACCUACCUUUGAGUUGGGGAUAGCCCUGGGAAACCAGGAUUAAUACCCGAUGUGGUCACAACAGGACAUCCUGAUGUGAGUAAAGGCGCAAGCCGCUCAAUGACGGGCUCGCGGCCUAUUAGCUUGUUGGUGGGGUAACGGCCUACCAAGGCGAUGAUGGGUAGCUGGUCUGAGAGGACGAUCAGCCACACUGGGACUGAGACACGGCCCCAGACUCCUACGGGAGGCAGCAGUUAGGAAUUUUCCGCAAUGGGCGAAAGCCUGACGGAGCAACGCCGCGUGAGUGAUGAAGACCUUAGGGUUGUAAAGCUCUGUCGGAGGGGAAGAACACAAUGACGGUACCCUACCAAGAACGCCCCGGCUAACUACGUGCCAGCAGCCGCGGUAA